This 875-nucleotide long non-coding RNA is filed under the name Equus asinus (donkey). Its description in RNAcentral is "lncRNA (ENSEASG00005034689.1)". Lineage: Eukaryota; Metazoa; Chordata; Mammalia; Perissodactyla; Equidae. The record is from RNAcentral.
GCGAAUCCCUACUUUGUGUGGUAACAGACACUCAGCAUUGGCUCUAAUCACAUCAGGAUUCGUGAAUGGAAGUCCAUGUUGCUGAAUAUAUGUAUAACCCUGUCACUUCCCUAAGGCCACUCUGUUCAUGAGUCCAUUAUGCAAUGACAGAUGGCCCUAAUAGGUGUUCAAAUAUCACCAUGGGACCUGCUGCAACUGGAGAUCUUCAAGGAGCUCUGCCACCCUGCUUCCUAAGACAUCCCUGAGACAUCAGAAGCCUUAGAACAUGAUUGCUUACAAGUUAUUGAGACGGUGUGUUCUAGCCGACUUGAUUUUUUGGACUGUCUGUUGGAAGAACCAGACUUGGAAAUCUUCACAGAUUGCAGAAGUUUCAUGGAUCAAGAAGGAUAAGGGACCAGCUUUUGUCUCCCACCUAAUCCAACAAGAGUCCAAAAGCCUAGAUGUCUGAUGGAUACUACACAGUUUGGAGACCUCAGUCAACUGGAAAGACAGAGAAAAUGAACCACACCUUAAAGAAGACCAUUGGCAAACUCUGUCAGGAAACACAACUAACUUGGAAUAAGGUCUGUAUAGCCAUCUGACGUCCCUCUAUACACCUUCCAACCUGGUGGUCAUGUUUUCCUGAAAACUUGGAGAGACAAAGGACCUGAAAACCACUUGUCACCCAAAUGGACAGGCCGCUUUGAGAUUGUUCUCACUACUCACUCGUAAAUAAAGCUUGCAGGUGUGCAACCCUGGAUCCAUCAGUCCAAGAUCAAGGCAGCCCCAGAAUCACAGGAAAGUACCCCACCUGUGUUGAGGGAAAAGUGGACAGCAGAUCCCCUUGGAGAACUAAAAUAUGUCUUUAAAAUAAAAAUUUCACCUUUGUUAUCUAA